AAAGUAGGGUGCAAGCGUUGCCCGGAUUUAUUGGGCGUAAAGUGUUUCGUAGGCGUUUUGGCAAGUCGUGCUUCAAAGGCUUCGGCUCAACCGUGGAAAGGGGCGCGAUACUGUCAGGAUUGAAGAAUGUCGGGGUCACUGGAACUCACGGUGUAGGGGUGAAAUCCGUUGAUAUCGUGAAGAACUCCGAAGGCGAAGGCGGGUGACUAGGCAAAUCUUGACGCUGAGGAACGAAAGCUAGGGGAGCGAAUGGG
This 254-nucleotide ribosomal RNA is filed under the name uncultured bacterium. RNAcentral's name for it is "partial 16S ribosomal RNA". It matches the Rfam family "Bacterial small subunit ribosomal RNA", at positions 524 to 776 of the family's 1533-position model. The record is from RNAcentral.